CUGAAACACAAGGUGACGAGAACUAUUAGGCAAUUGAGUGCAUUCCCUGCAGGGCUGCUCCCACUUCUAUCUGACUUGGGUCUAGAUGACUCAAGUGAUUCCCGAGGGGAAAAUAAUCUAUGUGGAACAGCUGUCAUGAGCAGGCCUUCUGCUGCUCUUCAGCCUCAAUUUCAGCCUGCUACUUCCCGUGACAUCAUUCAGUGAUUCCUCCCUUUAAGGGGACAGUUUUCUCUUGUAUUACAGGUGACUACUUGAAGGUGGCUAGACGAGAGCAUACUGCCACCACUCUUUAUUUGGAGGCCUGUAACCUGUCUUGAGUGUGUUGCAGGAAGACUCAGUUACAGUGUUCCCUGAAUAUGUAGCUUUCCAUUACAAUAGUAUGCAAGCCAAGAUGAAACCACCUCUGUUUGGGUUUCAGCAGCUGUCUGCCUACGGAAGGCUCCAGAGUCCCUGACGCAUAUUUAUAUCUCCACUUCACUGAAGUCACAAGGAACAAACACACACCUGCCAUUUCCCAAAUCUCAUAAAACAUAUAAAUGGAUGAGACCAAAGAGAGGCA
This 559-nucleotide long non-coding RNA is filed under the name Homo sapiens (human). Its description in RNAcentral is "non-protein coding ALKBH3-AS1:6". Lineage: Eukaryota; Metazoa; Chordata; Mammalia; Primates; Hominidae. The record is from RNAcentral.